GUCUAUUUGCUUCAUUGAAAUUGAACUUCUGGGGCGGUGGUGCGAAGAAAAUCGGGAGCAGUAAGAGGCUAGACAAAUCUACUAGCAACAGACGCUUCACUAGCCACUCACCCCUGACCCUCUCCCCAUCACCCCACUGGUGCCAGUGACAGAGGACAGCAGAGACUCUAUGCCUGGGACACUAGGAUAAGAGAGUGGGCCCAAGAUAUAUUCUCUCUGCCUUCUCCAUAAACUCACCGCGCAUUGCCUGAGGGCUCCGGGAUCUCAGUCUGCAUUGAUCGGAGCCCCCAUUCCAGAAAGCAGGCCAGGAAACAGGCAAACAAGAAGAAGCCACUCAAGGCUCCUGCAAAGAGACACACAGCUGUUGUGUCUAAACGGUUGUCAUCAUGGCUGGAUCGGAUACCAGAGUGACCUUAUCAUGCACCUUUGGGUUCCAGGUUCUUCAAUCUCCAGUCAACAACAACCUGAGGCAGCCCAGACCCCAAAAGCAGCCUGCCAGGAGCGCCUGGACUCUGCAUAGCAAGGAGUCACAGACGCUGCUCACACCCCAGCCAGCCCCGUGACCCUACACCCCUCUCCGACCACGUCUCAAGAGUUUCCUGCUUGCUCACCUGUCUCCAAGGACUGCAGCGAGGAGUGGCUGAGACCACGCGUUUCGCCGAGUGGGACACAGCAUCUUCCAUUGUGAAAGCAUCUCUGGAUGAGCGAUUAGUUUCAAUCAUCCUUGAAUCCCAGAAAUUAACAUGGUUCCCGACAUGUGGCAGGUGCUCACUCUGAAUCGAGUGAAUGCUUCCACUAGAAGGCUACACUCACCUGGCCUUGUCAUUCCCCGUGAGAUGUGAGUCAGGCUGUGAAGCCUGAGUGAAGUAGGUGCUGGGGGAUUGCGGGGGGAGGCGUAUGUUGUUCUCAGCUAGAGGUCGGACAAGAUUGUUUCUCUGUCCCUUCAGAGCAUUGCCAGUGGACAGACUAAUGGGAGCUGUGAACAGUAGGGCACAAAUCGAAUCCAUGCUGCCCUGGGACAGUCCCAGGGCCUAGCUAAGGCUACUGCAGCAGAGCGUGUGGGAUCUUGGGCAUACAGACACACGUGCCAGGCAUGCGUUUCAAGGUGCCAGAGACAGGAUCCGAGCCUCGGUUGGCCAUGCAGGAUCCGACUCCCUAUGCACAGUGCUUGACCACCACUACAGGGCCAGCCCGACAUUUUAAAAUGUCAGGACAUAUUGGGAUCAUACUACAUGUAUAGUUCCAUACUUUCCAGUCACUGUUCUGUCCUGGCAGUGGAGUAGGAUGCCAUGCACAGCUCUGCCCAUUCUUCUUGCCCUCCUUUGCUCCUAUGAUGCCUGCGUUCUAGGUGUUGACCAAGGCCACCUCGUUGGUGUCAGGCUUGAACUCCUUGUUCAAUUUACAGACUCCAGGCUGGCCAUCAGGCUGGAGCUGAGGCUGCCGCCCAACCUGUGGCUCCCUUCCCAGCUGUGGUGCGUGCCUGUCCCCUCACUGCCUGCGCCUUGCUAGUGCCCUUUCUCCUGGUGUAACCACGCCCCUAGCUCCCCUCUUCUCAGCCAGGUGGGAGAUGGCAGGCAUGCCUGGGCUGGAGCAGACAGUGCUGACCCUCCAACUCUGGGGUUCUUUGGUGAAAUGUUCUCCGUGGAGGAAGGACACUUGGUGUUACCCCUCUGAACAGCCUUCAGCCACUGGAUCAGACGUUUUGGUCUUUCGGAAGGAGCCUGUGAAAGGAGACCACAUGCCCUUCUAGGCAGAGCAGUUCGCAGCCACACAGCAGGGCACCAUCGUGGGACUCAACCCAGUGUGCCACCCACAGCCAGCAGACCACCCCCAAAUACAAUAAUUAAUAGCUAAGAAACAUUCCAUCCUGGAAGUACUAUUAUGGCAUAGUUUCCUGCUGUUAAAUGUUUAAAUUGUUCAGUUUUUUAUAUCAGCAAAUAAUUCUGAGUAUCUUAGUUCAUCGGCGUCUCCAC
Long non-coding RNA from Tupaia belangeri chinensis (Chinese tree shrew), 1973 nucleotides. RefSeq lists it as uncharacterized. The transcript is spliced from 6 exons. The record is from RefSeq and is a predicted model, not a curated record. Lineage: Eukaryota; Metazoa; Chordata; Mammalia; Scandentia; Tupaiidae.